This 492-nucleotide ribosomal RNA is filed under the name uncultured bacterium. RNAcentral's name for it is "partial 16S ribosomal RNA". It matches the Rfam family "Bacterial small subunit ribosomal RNA", at positions 29 to 507 of the family's 1533-position model. The record is from RNAcentral.
AGUGAACGCUGGCGGUAGGCCUAACACAUGCAAGUCGAACGGCAGCACAGUAAGAGCUUGCUCUUACGGGUGGCGAGUGGCGGACGGGUGAGGAAUACAUCGGAAUCUACUUUUUCGUGGGGGAUAACGUAGGGAAACUUACGCUAAUACCGCAUACGACCUACGGGUGAAAGCAGGGGAUCUUCGGACCUUGCGCGAUUCAAUGAGCCGAUGUCGGAUUAGCUAGUUGGCGGGGUAAAGGCCCACCAAGGCGACGAUCCGUAGCUGGUCUGAGAGGAUGAUCAGCCACACUGGAACUGAGACAUGGUCCAGACUCCUACGGGAGGCAGCAGUGGGGAAUAUUGGACAAUGGGCGCAAGCCUGAUCCAGCCAUACCGCGUGGGUGAAGAAGGCCUUCGGGUUGUAAAGCCCUUUUGUUGGGAAAGAAAAGCAGCAGGUUAAUACCCCGCUGUUCUGACGGUACCCAAAGAAUAAGCACCGGCUAACUUCGUG